This 240-nucleotide ribosomal RNA is filed under the name uncultured bacterium. Its description in RNAcentral is "partial 16S ribosomal RNA". It matches the Rfam family "Bacterial small subunit ribosomal RNA", at positions 524 to 762 of the family's 1533-position model. The record is from RNAcentral.
UACGAAGGGGGCUAGCGUUGUUCGGAAUUACUGGGCGUAAAGCGCACGCAGGCGGUUUUCCGCGUCGGACGUGAAAGUCCUGGGCUCAACCUGGGGAUUGCGUUCGAGACGGGAAGACUUGGGUUCGCGAGAGGGUGGCGGAAUUCCCAGUGUAGAGGUGGAAUUCGUAGAUAUUGGGAAGAACACCGGUGGCGAAGGCGGCCACCUGGCGCGAUACCGACGCUCAUGUGCGAAAAGCGU